RNAcentral lists this transfer RNA (72 nucleotides) under Bos taurus (domestic cattle). It matches the Rfam family "tRNA". From Rfam's summary of the family: Transfer RNA (tRNA) molecules are approximately 80 nucleotides in length. Their secondary structure includes four short double-helical elements and three loops (D, anti-codon, and T loops). Further hydrogen bonds mediate the characteristic L-shaped molecular structure. tRNAs have two regions of fundamental functional importance: the anti-codon, which is responsible for specific mRNA codon recognition, and the 3' end, to which the tRNAs corresponding amino acid is attached (by aminoacyl-tRNA synthetases). tRNAs cope with the degeneracy of the genetic code in two manners: having more than one tRNA (with a specific anti-codon) for a particular amino acid; and 'wobble' base-pairing, i.e. permitting non-standard base-pairing at the 3rd anti-codon position. RNAcentral also lists the same sequence under 5 other names. Lineage: Eukaryota; Metazoa; Chordata; Mammalia; Artiodactyla; Bovidae. The record is from Rfam by way of RNAcentral.
UCCCUGGUGGCUUAGAUGGUAAAGAAUCUGCCUUCAAUGCAGGAGACCCAGGUUCAGGCCCUGGGUUGGGAA